GGGGGUGUCAUGGUUUCGACAGGUUGUCUGUUGGAUUCAAUCUGCAGUGGAGUGGCGACCUAAUUGCCAAAAAACUUUAAACGGAAACAAAUUAAGUUUCGCUGCUUAGUCUCCUAGCGGAGCGCAGCUGUCUCUAGUAACCCUGCCCAUUGGGUUUAUAGACGGCACAAAAAAGAUGGGAUCGUUAAGCCAGUCGUUCUUACAAAGCUUAGCUAAACACCAGUAGAACAAAUCAUUGGGAGCCUGUCUGACGCAAACCCAGUGAUUAACACCUCAGACUAAACUGUAGACGGUUGAAUGUG
Molecule: transfer-messenger RNA, 302 nt
Filed under: Erysipelotrichaceae bacterium
Lineage: Bacteria; Bacillati; Bacillota; Erysipelotrichia; Erysipelotrichales; Erysipelotrichaceae
Description: partial transfer-messenger RNA
Rfam family: transfer-messenger RNA
About the family: Bacterial tmRNA, also known as 10Sa RNA or SsrA, is named for its dual tRNA and mRNA-like properties. Its role is to liberate the mRNA from a stalled ribosome.
Source: RNAcentral